UACAUGGGGUGCAAACGUUGCUCGGAAUUAUUGGGCGUAAAGCGCACGUAGGCGGUUUGUUAAGUCGGAUGUGAAAUCCCUCGGCUCAACUGAGGAAGUGCAUCCGAAACUGGCAAGCUUGAGUACGAAAGAGGGUCGCGGAAUUCCCGGUGUAGAGGUGAAAUUCGUAGAUAUCGGGAGGAACACCGGUGGCGAAGGCGGCGACCUGGGUCGAUACUGACGCUGAGGUGCGAAAGCGUGGGGAGCAAACAGG
This 253-nucleotide ribosomal RNA is filed under the name uncultured bacterium. RNAcentral describes it as "partial 16S ribosomal RNA". It matches the Rfam family "Bacterial small subunit ribosomal RNA", at positions 524 to 776 of the family's 1533-position model. The record is from RNAcentral. RNAcentral also lists the same sequence under 1 other name.